UCAUACAUGCAAGUCGAACGGAGAUGUGAGGGCUUGCUCUUAUAUCUUAGUGGCGCACGGGUGAGUAAUGUAUAGCUAAUCUGCCCUACACUAGAGGACAACAGUUGGAAACGACUGCUAAUACUCUAUACUCCUUCUUUACAUAAGUUAAGUCGGGAAAGUUUUUCNGNUGUAGGAUGAGGCUAUAUCGUAUCAGCUAGUUGGUGAGGUAAUGGCUCACCAAGGCUAUGACGCGUAACUGGUCUGAGAGGAUGAUCAGUCACAUCUGGAACUGAGCACACGGUCCANGACUANCUACGGGAGGCAGCAGUAGGGUACAUAUUGCUCAAUGGGGGAAACCCUGAAGCAGCAACGCCGCGUGGAGGAUGACACUUUUCGGAGCGUAAACUCCUUUUCUUGGGAAAGAAUUAUGACGGUACCCAAGGAAUAAGCACCGGCUAACUCCGUGCCAGCAGCCGCGGUAAUACGGAGGGUGCAAGCGUUACUCGGAAUCACUGGGCGUAAAGGACGCGUAGGCGGAUUAUCAAGUCUUGAGUGAAAUCUAACGGCUUAACCGUUAAACUGCUUGGGAAACUGAUAAUCUAGAGUAAGGGAGAGGCAGAUGGAAUUCUUGGUGUAGGGGUAA
Molecule: ribosomal RNA, 625 nt
Filed under: Campylobacter sp. cp06.20
Lineage: Bacteria; Pseudomonadati; Campylobacterota; Epsilonproteobacteria; Campylobacterales; Campylobacteraceae
Description: bacterial SSU rRNA
Rfam family: Bacterial small subunit ribosomal RNA
Source: RNAcentral